This 335-nucleotide long non-coding RNA is filed under the name Nicotiana benthamiana. Its description in RNAcentral is "long non-coding RNA (NBEN_LNC018081)". The record is from RNAcentral. Lineage: Eukaryota; Viridiplantae; Streptophyta; Magnoliopsida; Solanales; Solanaceae.
CGGAACAAUUUGUGGGGUUCUUUGCUUCUCUUCCUACAACGAUAAAUAAACUUGUAAUUUUUUUUCAACUGAUAUUUCUUGUUUUUGGGAUUAUAGUUACAUUUGUAAUGUUCAAACAAUAACUCAAGUUAUAAUUAGUAUUCAAAAGAUCUUAUUUUUUUAUUUUGUUUGCAGCCCAGAGAUGAAGCUAGUGGAUCCCUAUCACCCAUAGGUGCAAGAAGAUCAUCUGAUGGCAGUAAUCCAAGUGACAACAAUUGAAGUUCUUUAUCAGUGAAUUAGAUAAUUAAUUACGACAAUGUAAUUAUGUGAUUGGAGCGGAUGUUAGAAUGGAUAGG